GACGAACGCUGGCGGCGUGCUUAACACAUGCAAGUCGAACGGAAAGGCCCUUCGGGGUACUCGAGUGGCGAACGGGUGAGUAACACGUGGGUGAUCUGCCCUGCACUUUGGGAUAAGCCUGGGAAACUGGGUCUAAUACCGAAUAGGACCACGCGCUUCAUGGUGUGUGGUGGAAAGCUUUUGCGGUGUGGGAUGGGCCCGCGGCCUAUCAGCUUGUUGGUGGGGUAAUGGCCUACCAAGGCGACGACGGGUAGCCGGCCUGAGAGGGUGACCGGCCACACUGGGACUGAGAUACGGCCCAGACUCCUACGGGAGGCAGCAGUGGGGAAUAUUGCACAAUGGGCGCAAGCCUGAUGCAGCGACGCCGCGUGAGGGAUGACGGCCUUCGGGUUGGAAACCUCUUUCAAUAGGGACGAAGCGCAAGUGACGGUACCGAUAGAAGAAGCACCGGCCAACUACGU
This 461-nucleotide ribosomal RNA is filed under the name uncultured bacterium. RNAcentral describes it as "partial 16S ribosomal RNA". It matches the Rfam family "Bacterial small subunit ribosomal RNA", at positions 28 to 506 of the family's 1533-position model. The record is from RNAcentral.